This 331-nucleotide unclassified non-coding RNA is filed under the name soil metagenome. RNAcentral's name for it is "partial contains 5.8S ribosomal RNA, internal transcribed spacer 2, and large subunit ribosomal RNA". The stretch from base 1 to 120 matches the Rfam family "5.8S ribosomal RNA", at positions 35 to 154 of the family's 154-position model. The record is from RNAcentral.
GAUGAAGAACGUAGUGAAAUGCGAUAAGUAAUGUGAAUUGCAGAAUUCAGUGAAUCAUCGAAUCUUUGAACGCACAUUGCGCCCCCUGGUAUUCCGGGGGGCAUGCCUGUUCGAGCGUCAUUUCACCACUCAAGCCUCGCUUGGUAUUGGGCAACGCGGUCCGCCGCGUGCCUCAAAUCGACCGGCUGGGUCUUCUGUCCCCUAAGCGUUGUGGAAACUAUUCGCUAAAGGGUGUUCGGGAGGCUACGCCGUAAAACAACCCCAUUUCUAAGGUUGACCUCGGAUCAGGCAGGGAUACCCGCUGAACUUAAGCAUAUCAAUAAGCGGAGGA